Molecule: long non-coding RNA, 600 nt
Filed under: Erythranthe guttata (spotted monkey flower)
Lineage: Eukaryota; Viridiplantae; Streptophyta; Magnoliopsida; Lamiales; Phrymaceae
Description: long non-coding RNA (EGUT_LNC001784)
Source: RNAcentral
UCAAGGAUCAAAGUGGGAAAAAAGUUUACCACAACAGAAGUAGCAAUCAGUUCAUCCAUCAAAAUAUGAUAAUCCAAUCAUUUUGUAAGCUGCAGCAUAAAAAUGGACAACAUCUAUAGAGACAAGCAAUCAAAGUUAUGCACACAAUACAUAGAAUGUUAAGUAAACUUACAUUAAUAAUCAACAAUAACAAUUUACAUAAACUGUAAAUGUUGCAUGCUACUGCCACUGCCUAGACAAUCUGUCUAAAAGAAUCUGAGAAAGCAAAUAUAGUAGUUAAUCAAGAUAUCAAUAAAAAUAUCACAUCAUAAAUUAAAGAUGUAAAUGGCUGAUAUUUUACAAAUCAUACCCGAUGAACAAAUGAUAACUAAUUUCGAUGUACCAAUAAUAAAAUGAUAUAAUAAAAAAUAUAUAGCAUUCGGUACAGUUUUAUCCAUUUUAUUGGAGUUGAACAUAUAAUUGUAAUAUUAUGACUAGAUAGGCAAGCAAUAAUUUACCCGAGUGGCUUUCUACUUCAGCAACAUACAUUUGCAUCUUCUAAGUGUCCCUUAUAUUUGGCAUAUGUAAGUCACCUCAACUCUUGAGUCCUAAAAGUCAGUA